RNAcentral lists this ribosomal RNA (529 nucleotides) under uncultured Entrophosporaceae. RNAcentral's name for it is "SSU rRNA". It matches the Rfam family "Eukaryotic small subunit ribosomal RNA", at positions 569 to 1092 of the family's 1831-position model. The record is from RNAcentral. Lineage: Eukaryota; Fungi; Glomeromycota; Glomeromycetes; Entrophosporales; Entrophosporaceae.
AGCAGCCGCGGUAAUUCCAGCUCCAAUAGCGUAUAUUAAAGUUGUUGCAGUUAAAAAGCUCGUAGUUGAAUUUCGGGAUUGACGUGAUGGUCAUGCCUUAAGGGGUAUGAACUGUUACUGUUGAUUUCUCACCUUCUGGAGAAACUUGAUGUCCUUUAUUGGGUGUCUUGCGGAUCCAGGACCUUUACCUUGAAAAAAUUAGAGUGUUUAAAGCAGGCAUUUUUGCUCGAAUACAUUAGCAUGGAAUAAUAGAAUAGGACGGCAUGGUUCUAUUUUGUUGGUUUCUAGGAUCACCGUAAUGAUUAAUAGGGAUAGUUGGGGGCAUUAGUAUUCAAUUGUCAGAGGUGAAAUUCUUGGAUUUAUUGAAGACUAACUACUGCGAAAGCAUUUGCCAAGGAUGUUUUCAUUAAUCAAGAACGAAAGUUAGGGGAUCGAAGACGAUCAGAUACCGUCGUAGUCUUAACCAUAAACUAUGCCGACUAGGAAUCAGACGAUGUUAAUUUUUUAAUGACUCGUUUGGCACCUUACG